RNAcentral lists this ribosomal RNA (460 nucleotides) under uncultured bacterium. RNAcentral describes it as "partial 16S ribosomal RNA". It matches the Rfam family "Bacterial small subunit ribosomal RNA", at positions 338 to 795 of the family's 1533-position model. The record is from RNAcentral.
CCUACGGGGGGCAGCAGUGAGGAAUAUUGGUCAAUGGGCGCGAGCCUGAACCAGCCAAGCCGCGUGAAGGAUGACUGCCCUAUGGGUUGUAAACUUCUUUUAUACAGGAAUAAAGUGAGGCACGUGUGCCUGUUUGUAUGUAUUUUAUGAAUAAGGAUCGGCUAACUCCGUGCCAGCAGCCGCGGUAAUACGGAGGAUCCGAGCGUUAUCCGGAUUUAUUGGGUUUAAAGGGUGCGUAGAUGGGUUGUUAAGUUAGAUGUGAAAGGGUGCGGCUCAACCGUGGAAUUGCAAUUGAUACUGGCAGGCUAGAGAGCAGUUGAGGUAGGCGGAAUGCGUGGUGUAGCGGUGAAAUGCUUAGAGAUCAGGAAGAACACCGAUUGCGAAGGCAGCUUACUAAACUGCUACUGACGUUGAGGCUCGAAAGUGUGGGGAGCAAACAGGAUUAGAUACCCUUGUAGUC